ACUUAGACAUAAACAGAAUUUUUAAAUAUAAAUUUUAAUGAACGUCAUUCUAAAUUAAAGUGAGAAAAACUACAUUCCCCGGUCUUGAGGCGUCACUGAAGUCCUUUUAUCACUGGAGGAGCAUUGUGGGAUUUGAAGUGUGAUUUGCGUUGCUCAGGACACUCGCGGGCAUUCUGGUGGCAGGAGGACCAGUGGGUGAAAUAUCAGGGCGGAGCUUUCCCCGCUUGGCAGAUGGAUGCCUUGUGAACUUAAAGGCAAAGUAAUCAACUUAACAUAAAUCGCAAGAUGCAAUUUCCCAGGGUCGGACGCCACCAUACGUUCUAGAUUGUAGUAGACAUCUUUUUGACAAUAGUAGGCUAACUGACAAAGCUGAUGAGGUAAAAGUAGGUUAUAUUCUGACAUAUCUCAAAAAGCAUAAAUUAAUAAACCACGAGGCAAGUGCAUUGAUCUGUAACAUAUUUUUCUUAAUCGAUGUCUGUUAGAUUAAAUUUAGCUACCGGUAGCGCGAUGUUGCUUUGUACGCUUCCUGUAACCUGUUGAGACUCAUCUGCAUGCCACGGACCGAGGGUGUGUUCACUCUUCACCAAAGGGAUGGGGGUGAGGGGAGGGGAACUGGAGAGAUACAGAGAAUGAAAGAAAGAGGGAGCUGUAUCUCUCCCUCACACAGGCUACGCACACAAGCUCAGAUGUACAGCAGUAUGUUUGUAACGCAAAACAAAAGUGGCCUGCUCUCCUUCAGAAACUUGCAGUUUUGGUUGCUGCUGGAUGCAUCAUGAGCCGCUGUAGGGACGGGAGUGUCUCUGUACUGAGGAAACUCUUCUCAGGAAGUGGCGUAUGGGUUAGUUACAUGUGCAGUCAACUCUUCAUACACUCCCUCUACUGGUGUCCACUCUGUCACUCUCUUGGUCAGUAUUAUAUGGCUGUUACCUUACAGAAGGCGAGUGAGGGGGGAAUUGAGAGAGUGUUUGUAUAGGCAACAAUUGGUUGAAUUAUGAUGAAAUUAUUUUUUAAGUUAAACAGACUGUUUCUUAAUAAUUUUUGAAUGUAAUUUUUUUUUUUUUUUUUAGAUUGCUUUGACUCCAAUUAUUGUCCCUCAUCAGUUUCAGGUCAAUAUUUGAAAGAUGACUGAAAUGUUAAUGACAUGCUGGUCAUGAACUGCAUUUAAAAAAAGAAAAACAUUUUAUAAUGUUUUCUGAAGUUCACUUAAAAUGUUAAAAAAUUGCCAUAAUUUAGAAAUAAAAGGUCAUUUCUACCCUUAUUUUA
Rhinichthys klamathensis goyatoka is the source of this 1263-nucleotide long non-coding RNA. RefSeq lists it as uncharacterized. NCBI's taxonomy places the organism in Eukaryota, Metazoa, Chordata, Actinopteri, Cypriniformes, Leuciscidae. The transcript has 3 exons. The record is from RefSeq and is a predicted model, not a curated record.